AGAAUGAACGCUGGCGGCGUGCUUAACACAUGCAAGUCGAAUGGAAUCCAAGGAGCUUGCUCUGGAAGAUUUAGUGGCGAACGGGUGAGUAUCACGUGAGCAACCUGCCCCGAAGACUGGGAUAACACCGGGAAACCGGUGCUAAUACCGGAUACCUUCCAAUGACCGCAUGGUCGAUGGAAGAAAUGUUUUUCGCUUCGGGAGGGGCUCGCGGUCCAUCAGCUUGUUGGCGGGUAACGGCCCACCAAGGCUUCGACGGAUAGCUGGUCUGAGAGGACGAUCAGCCACACUGGAACUGAGACACGGUCCAGACUCCUACGGGAGGCAGCAGUGGGGAAUCUUGCGCAAUGGACGAAAGUCUGACGCAGCAACGCCGCGUGAGGGACGAAGGUUUUCUGAAUUGUAAACCUCUUUCGACAGGGACGAUAAUGACGGUACCUGUAGAAGAAGCACCGGCCAACUAUGUGCCAGCAGCCGCGGU
RNAcentral lists this ribosomal RNA (481 nucleotides) under uncultured bacterium. RNAcentral describes it as "SSU rRNA". It matches the Rfam family "Bacterial small subunit ribosomal RNA", at positions 26 to 521 of the family's 1533-position model. The record is from RNAcentral.